CAGUAGCAUUAGUUCCUUUUCAUUCUCUAGAUAGAUGGGCAGAACAAGCUUCUCGAGUCUUAAUAGGGCGAUUGUCACUGCUUAUGGACCAGAACCUGGGUGAUAUAUCCAUGACCAGGAUGAAGCUUGGAUGAAACUAAGCAGAGGUCCGAACCGACUGAUGUUAAAGAAUCAGCGGAUGAGUUGUGGUUAGGGGUGAAAUGCCACUCGAACCUAGAGCUAGCUGA
This 227-nucleotide non-coding RNA is filed under the name Triticum aestivum (bread wheat). RNAcentral describes it as "Bacterial large subunit ribosomal RNA". It matches the Rfam family "Bacterial large subunit ribosomal RNA", at positions 660 to 852 of the family's 2925-position model. Lineage: Eukaryota; Viridiplantae; Streptophyta; Magnoliopsida; Poales; Poaceae. The record is from Rfam by way of RNAcentral.